RNAcentral lists this long non-coding RNA (948 nucleotides) under Citrus sinensis (sweet orange). RNAcentral's name for it is "long non-coding RNA (CSIN_LNC002881)". The record is from RNAcentral. Lineage: Eukaryota; Viridiplantae; Streptophyta; Magnoliopsida; Sapindales; Rutaceae.
AAAAUUUCUCAGCCAGGAGAAAAUAGAAAUAUUCUUUCCAUAUCAAUAUUCUUAAACUUUUUUUUCUUGUUUACUAUUUUACCCUUUGUUGAAAAUUAGAAUAACGAGGAAACAGCGAGCCGAAAGAGGAUAAAAGCCAAACGUGUAGCAGAGGGACCGUUAAUAGCCGGCGCCAAAUAUUCCUUGUUUGUUCCUUGCCCCCCUCUCUUAAAAUCACAGAGCAGCCCAGUUUUUGUUGUUCUGUUUAAAAAAGAAAAAAAAAAAAAAAAACCCUGCAGCUGUGCAGCUAACAAAAACACUUCACUUCUCAUUAAUUCUCAUUAACAGACCAAUUAACUGACUCUUCUUUCUUCUGUAUUUUGGUUGAACUAGAGCUAGCUAGCUCUUUUGCAAUUUGCGUGAUGGAGAAUGGUUUCUCCUCUCCAAGAAACGACACCUUUAAUCCUGCCGGUCUCCGCGUUCUUGUUGUUGAUGAUGAUCUAGCGUGGCUCAAAAUUCUUGAAAAGAUGCUCAAAAAGUGUUCCUAUGAAGGUUCGUGGUCACAGUUAAAUUUCAGAUUUUACUUUACUUUGUUACUGUUGUUAUUACUUGGUUUGCUUUAACUGUAUGAUAUAUCCACUUCCUCAUCUGCGUUUCUUGUUUUUUCUUAAUGAUCUUCGACUGCUCACUGAACUAAUUUGCUACAUCAAGUUCUUAUAAUUUCUUUUGUUAUAAUUGCUGACCCGUGAGACCUUUUUUUUUCCCUCCUCCGCCUGCAUGGAUUAUUAGUUUUAAAAAAAAAAAAAAAAAAAAAAAACACCCUGCAGCUGUGCAGCUAACAAAAACACUUCACUUCUCAUUAAUUCUCAUUAACAGACCAAUUAACUGACUCUUCUUUCUUCUGUAUUUUGGUUGAACUAGAGCUAGCUAGCUCUUUUGCAAUUUGCGUGAUGGAGAAUGGUUUCUCCU